UAAUACCUUCCCUAGCCAAGAUGGAAAUGUUAGGAAGGUUGAAAUAAAAAUCAGUUCUGGAGGUACAUGUAAGACCUUCUUGAGGCCAGUUACUGGAGUUGUUCUCCUUCUGAAGAACACCUGUAGCGAGGACACUAGUUAAACAUAAGGUGACAUCUUAUGAUGUCAGGCGGGGAGUGUGCUGGCAGUAAUUCUUCCCAGCCAGCAGGUGGUGGUGUUUUCAUGUUAAGUUUGUUAUUGAACAGUAGAAUCAGUUCAGAAUCACAUGUAUAAUGGCUGACAGAGGCAGUUUAUCAGUCUUCAUUUAAUCAUUCUUCAUCCUGUUUGUUGUUUAGAGAAAGCACUGCUUUUUCACUCUUUUGGCAAUUGAAAGCAACGUCAAUUAAAGGGACAUACGCCUGACAAUCGUCUGAGAGUUUAUCUAUCUGCACAACUGUUACUUGGAAACACAGUGGGGGCAGAACAGAGGCCGUCCCUCAGAUCACA
Long non-coding RNA from Xiphophorus couchianus (Monterrey platyfish), 486 nucleotides. RefSeq lists it as uncharacterized. The transcript is spliced from 3 exons. The record is from RefSeq and is a predicted model, not a curated record. NCBI's taxonomy places the organism in Eukaryota, Metazoa, Chordata, Actinopteri, Cyprinodontiformes, Poeciliidae.